Molecule: transfer RNA, 627 nt
Filed under: uncultured Prochlorococcus sp.
Lineage: Bacteria; Bacillati; Cyanobacteriota; Cyanophyceae; Synechococcales; Prochlorococcaceae
Description: partial 16S-23S ribosomal RNA intergenic spacer
Rfam family: tRNA (bases 231-303)
Source: RNAcentral
UUUGAUGCCUAAAUUAUUUAUCUUUAGGUCAUAAUCCUUCACCUUAGGUCGAUCGGUAUCUCAGUUUAAGGAAACUAAGAAAUUUAUUUGUUUAGUUUUUAUUGAAUUCAGUUCCUAACUUUGUCUAGGUCACACCCAACAAGGGUACUCCUGGGCCAUUAGCUCAGGUGGUUAGAGCGCACCCCUGAUAAGGGUGAGGCCCUGUCAAGUCAGGAUGGCCAUUCGGUGUUGGGGGUAUAGCUCAGUUGGUAGAGCGCCUGCUUUGCAAGCAGGAUGUCAGCGGUUCGAGUCCGCUUACCUCCACUGAUCGACCUCCUUCCAGCGAAGCUUUAGGAGAGUUUUGUCGGACGUGAUCUAGAAUUUGUUCAAUUGAAUGAACCUAGCUUCUUAUCAUUCCAAUUAGCCAAUUUUUAGUUUGGUUGGUAAGACGCUGGGCUCCCUGCAACAAACAUUGCAGAGAUGUUCAGUAGAACCUUGACAACUGCAUAGGUGAGUCUGGAAAAAAUAAAGCAUCUCAUGGAUGCAUUGUUUUUUGAUUGAUUUUUAGGGGUUUAAUGCAAUUAAAUUCCUAACUCUUGAUUUUAAAAGAUAAUGUUUAAUUCUUGAGCAAGAGCCGAGACUCUAUAA